Molecule: ribosomal RNA, 301 nt
Filed under: uncultured bacterium
Lineage: Bacteria
Description: partial 16S ribosomal RNA
Rfam family: Bacterial small subunit ribosomal RNA
Source: RNAcentral
CAGUCGCCGCGGUAAUACGGAGGGGGCUAGCGUUGUUCGGAAUUACUGGGCGUAAAGCGCACGUAGGCGGCUUGGUAAGUUAGAGGUGAAAGCCCGGAGCUCAACUCCGGAAUUGCCUUUAAGACUGCCGAGCUAGUAGGUGAGAGAGGUAAGUGGAAUUCCGAGUGUAGAGGUGAAAUUCGUAGAUAUUCGGAAGAACACCAGUGGCGAAGGCGGCUUACUGGCUCAUUCUAGACGCUGAGGUGCGAAAGCGUGGGGAACAAACAGGAUUAGAUACCCCCGUAGUCCCUGUCUCUUAUAC